Molecule: long non-coding RNA, 862 nt
Organism: Erigeron canadensis
Lineage: Eukaryota; Viridiplantae; Streptophyta; Magnoliopsida; Asterales; Asteraceae
Exons: 3
Source: RefSeq, a predicted model, not a curated record
UCACCUCUUGAACAGAAGAAAAACAAAGACUUCCCACUUUGCACCAACUUGCAACUCUUCCCCAAAUGAUAGUAGAAAAAGGACAAUAGCACAACAAAUGAUCGAUUCGUCCCAACUGUCGCACAGCCCAACAAAUGAGAAAAAAGAGAAAUGAAGACUUCUCACUUUGCACCAACUUGCAACUCUUCCCCAAAUGAUAGUUGAAAAAGGACAAUAGCACAACAAAUGAUCGAUGGUUUCGUCCCAACUGUCGCACAGCCCAACAAAUGAGAAAAAAUCAAGCUAGUAGUUUACACUUUACAUACUCAGCUGGUCCUUUGGAGUUUGGAAUGUAAAAAGUUGUCCGAAUUUACGGGCAUUAACUUUUGCUAGCCCUACGUAAAUUGCAAACAUAUAGGUAGAGACAAAGUGUCAAAGUGGUUCGUCAGAUCAAAGGGUUUUUCACCAAGCAUCCUUUUCGGCUGCAAUGUUAUAAUUCUUUAUGUAUGUUCGGGAAUUUUGGUACAUGUGACAAAAUCAUAGUGAUUAAAUUGAUGUAUCUGUAAAGAUCGUCAAGCCUAAAGCUUUGUAUAAGGAUAUCUGGACGAAAGAAAUCCAUUUCUACAUCGAAAAGAUUCAAAAUUAAUCGAAUGAAGUUAGCUACUUUAGCAAAGAUUCUUGGGAACCAUCACCUUAUCCAUAUUCGAAGUAUCAAGAAGGUUGUAUAUUGUAUUUUCUUUUUUUAGGACAAUCGAAAGUUUCUUUUAAUAUGUAUAUAUUCAUUUAGGUUUCUGAAACAAAUUACACGUAUGCUUAGAGCGAUCAACGUGUUCAACUCGUUUAUGUAAAACUAUCGUAUUGAAAUCUUAUACAUAUUGAAACA